AUCCAGCUGACGAGUCCCAAACAGGGCGAAACGCACGUCCUGGAU
Molecule: non-coding RNA, 45 nt
Filed under: Schistosoma margrebowiei
Lineage: Eukaryota; Metazoa; Platyhelminthes; Trematoda; Strigeidida; Schistosomatidae
Source: RNAcentral